AGAGUUUGAUCCUGGCUCAGGACGAACGCUGGCGGCGUGCUUAACACAUGCAAGUGGAGCGACGAAGGGGCUUCGGCCCCGGCAAAGCCGCGAACGGGUGAGUAACACGUGGGUUACCUGCCCCGAUGAUUGGGACAACCCGAGGAAACUCGGGCUAAUACCAAAUGUGCUCUUCGGAGGAAAGGAAGCUUCGGCCUCCGCAUCGGGAUGGGCCCGCGGUGCAUUAGCUUGUUGGUAGGGUAAUGGCCUACCAAGGCGACGAUCAGUAGCUGGUCUGAGAGGAUGAUCAGCCACAUUGGGACUGAGACACGGCCCAAACUCCUACGGGAGGCAGCAGUGGGGAAUAUUGGACAAUGGGCGCAAGCCUGAUCCAGCCAUGCCGCGUGAGUGAUGAAGGCCUUAGGGUUGUAAAGCCCUUUCGUCCGGGACGAUAAUGACGGUACCGGAAGAAGAAGCCCCGGCUAACUUCGUGCCAGCAGCCGCGGUAAUACGAAGGGGGCUAGCGUUGUUCGGAAUCACUGGGCGUAAAGGGCGCGUAGGCGGCCUGAUAAGUCGGGGGUGAAAGCCUGUGGCUCAACCACAGAAUUGCCUUCGAUACUGUCGGGCUUGAGACCGGAAGAGGUAAGUGGAACUGCGAGUGUAGAGGUGAAAUUCGUAGAUAUUCGCAAGAACACCAGUGGCGAAGGCGGCUUACUGGUCCGGUUCUGACGCUGAGGCGCGAAAGCGUGGGGAGCAAACAGGAUUAGAUACCCCAGUAGUCC
This 761-nucleotide ribosomal RNA is filed under the name uncultured Hyphomicrobiales bacterium. RNAcentral describes it as "bacterial SSU rRNA". It matches the Rfam family "Bacterial small subunit ribosomal RNA", at positions 8 to 796 of the family's 1533-position model. The record is from RNAcentral. Lineage: Bacteria; Pseudomonadati; Pseudomonadota; Alphaproteobacteria; Hyphomicrobiales.